UAAUACGUAGGGUGCAAGCGUUGUCCGGAAUUAUUGGGCGUAAAGAGCGUGUAGGCGGCCCGAUUAGUCCGCUGUGAAAGUCCAGGGCUCAACCCUGGAAUGCCGGUGGAUACUGUCGGGCUAGAGUCCGGAAGGGGCGAGUGGAAUUCCUGGUGUAGCGGUGAAAUGCGCAGAUAUCAGGAGGAACACCAAUGGCGAAGGCAGCUCGCUGGGACGUGACUGACGCUGAGACGCGAAAGCGUGGGGAGCAAACAGGAUUAGAUACCCUGGUAGUCCACGCUGUAAACGAUGGCAACUAGAUGUGGGGGGUGUCGACUCCCCCCGUGUCGAAGCUAACGCAUUAAGUUGCCCGCCUGGGGAGUACGGCCGCAAGGCUA
This 377-nucleotide ribosomal RNA is filed under the name uncultured bacterium. RNAcentral describes it as "bacterial SSU rRNA". It matches the Rfam family "Bacterial small subunit ribosomal RNA", at positions 521 to 896 of the family's 1533-position model. The record is from RNAcentral.